Molecule: transfer RNA, 65 nt
Filed under: Chloroniella peringueyi
Lineage: Eukaryota; Metazoa; Arthropoda; Insecta; Megaloptera; Corydalidae
Description: tRNA-Ile
Source: RNAcentral
AAUGAAGUGCCUGAGAAAAGGAUUAUCUUGAUAGGGUAGAACACGUGAAAAUUACACCUUCAUUA